UACGUAGGGCGCAAGCGUUAUCCGGAAUUAUUGGGCGUAAAGAGCUCGUAGGCGGUCUGUCGCGUCUGCUGUGAAAACCCGAGGCUCAACCUCGGGCCUGCAGUGGGUACGGGCAGACUAGAGUGCGGUAGGGGAGAUUGGAAUUCCUGGUGUAGCGGUGAAAUGCGCAGAUAUCAGGAGGAACACCCGUAGCGAAGGCGGCACUCUGGGCCGAUACUGACACUGAGGAGCGAAAGCGUGGGGAGCGAACAGG
RNAcentral lists this ribosomal RNA (253 nucleotides) under uncultured bacterium. RNAcentral describes it as "partial 16S ribosomal RNA". It matches the Rfam family "Bacterial small subunit ribosomal RNA", at positions 524 to 776 of the family's 1533-position model. The record is from RNAcentral.